GCGCUCGUAGCUCAGGGGAUAGAGCGCAAGGUUGCGGACCUUGAGGUCGCAGGUUCGAUUCCUGCCGGGCGCA
This 73-nucleotide transfer RNA is filed under the name bacterium. RNAcentral's name for it is "tRNA-Arg". It matches the Rfam family "tRNA". Rfam says of the family: Transfer RNA (tRNA) molecules are approximately 80 nucleotides in length. Their secondary structure includes four short double-helical elements and three loops (D, anti-codon, and T loops). The record is from RNAcentral.